Long non-coding RNA from Brassica rapa (field mustard), 1546 nucleotides. RefSeq lists it as uncharacterized. Lineage: Eukaryota; Viridiplantae; Streptophyta; Magnoliopsida; Brassicales; Brassicaceae. The record is from RefSeq and is a predicted model, not a curated record.
GUUUAUAAUUAAUUUGUUGCUCAUAUCUAAAAGACUUCAUACUAGUAAUUUGUACAAGAAACAAAUAGUGAGAUAUAGCACUUGUUUGAGAUAUUUUACUGGUUGAGCUAUUUUACAUUUUUCUUUCUUAAUAAGCUCAUAUAAAAGAUUUAACUUUCUAAUCUUGUUUUAGCUAACUUGUGCUUGAACUCGCGGAUACCAAAUUAUUAAUUAAUUGAAUAUUAAUCAAUAGAGCCGACUUGGACAAAUUCGUAUUUCAAUUGAACAAGUUGAGCUGGAACUUGAAGAUAGCGAUAUUUAAUUUAUGGCAGACACGAGUCAUUGACUUUUCCUGUUUCAGACCAUUAAUGCAUUAUCUUCAUAGCACUUUGCCCGUUUUAUCAAAAAAAUGCUGAAACAAAGAUACAGAAGAUUUUUUUUUUUUUUUGAUAAAGUCUGAUUAGGAAAAUAGCUACGGUGGCUCAAAAGAUACAGAAGAUACCAAGUAUCGAAAGAGAAAACAUGAAAAGACAAAAAAUCAACAAAGAUGAGACAACUAAUCAAAGACAAGCACGCACGUUCGAAUUUUCAACACACUUACACAACACUCCGUUACUCAACAUUGAUAUUAUAUAACGAACGGCUUAUCCUUUGUAUGGGUUGAGGAUGGCUUGUAUGUCAAGCAAUGUUCAGAUACUCUGAAAUUAAAUGAAGGUGAAGUUAAUUGAUAAUUAUUCUCUGUACAUUUGUCGUGGAAGGAGAACCAGUUCUACGUAACUCAAGUGAACCAAUUAGAUUAAACGGCCUUGUAGGUUAGGAAUAUGCAUUUUACCCUAUAUCCAAACUGGUACCCAAAUCCGAUUUGAAAAUCCAAAUUGAAGUGGCAAAAUAUAUGAACGAAUAUUGAGUUAAUUAGAAAAGAUUAGAUAUCCGAACCCAAACGGAAAUUAAACUAGGAAAAAUUAAAUAUCUGAACCCGAACAAGUAAUAUCAGAACCUAAAUGGAUAUCCGAACAUAUGUAUAUUUAACCUUAUAUUCCUAAUUUACUUACAUCAUUUUAUUUAAAAUAUUUAUAUUAAUAUUGUACAUAGUUCAAAAAUCAUGUAAUAUGCAUAUACUUACCGACAAAGUGAUUUGUUACUCACUUAAAAUAAAUGUCGAGCUUCUUGGUUGAUGCAUUAACAAAAAGUGCAUUCAAAAUCUCAAAACAAUAACCAUAUAAGUUUUUUUCUGUUUUCAAAUUUUUAUCUUGAAACCUAUUAAUCGUUUAAUCUAUUAAAAAUUAGAAAAUUAUUUAAGUUAAUAAUAAAUUUUAAGAACAAAAAGCUUUUUUUUUAAAUCUAAAUAUUCGAACCCAACCCAAAAUAACUAUACCCGAGUUAAAAAAUAUCCUAACCCGAUCCGAUAUUUAAAAAUACUCAAACUGGUUCUAACCGCCAAUAUUAAAAUACCCUAAAACCCCCAAAUAUCUGAUCGAAUCCGAGAGGUAUCCAAACGUCUAUUUAUUCUAAUUUUAAGUCAAACACUGUCUAGAUUUAUUUGUGACCCAAAUAAUAAUAAGAAUUU